RNAcentral lists this transfer RNA (73 nucleotides) under Felis catus (domestic cat). It matches the Rfam family "tRNA". From Rfam's summary of the family: Transfer RNA (tRNA) molecules are approximately 80 nucleotides in length. The record is from Rfam by way of RNAcentral. Lineage: Eukaryota; Metazoa; Chordata; Mammalia; Carnivora; Felidae. RNAcentral also lists the same sequence under 3 other names.
GCCUGGCUGGCUCAGUUGGUAGAGCAUGUGACUCUUGAUCUUGGGGUUGUAAGUUCAAGUCCCAUGUUGGGUG